This 447-nucleotide ribosomal RNA is filed under the name uncultured bacterium. RNAcentral describes it as "partial 16S ribosomal RNA". It matches the Rfam family "Bacterial small subunit ribosomal RNA", at positions 330 to 794 of the family's 1533-position model. The record is from RNAcentral.
CCCAGACUCCUACGGGAGGCAGCAGUGGGGAAUAUUGCACAAUGGGGGAAACCCUGAUGCAGCGACGCCGCGUGAGUGAAGAAGUAUUUCGGUAUGUAAAGCUCUAUCAGCAGGAAAGAAAAUGACGGUACCUGACUAAGAAGCCCCGGCUAACUACGUGCCAGCAGCCGCGGUAAUACGUAGGGGGCAAGCGUUAUCCGGAUUUACUGGGUGUAAAGGGAGCGUAGACGGCAUGGCAAGUCAGAUGUGAAAGCCCGGGGCUCAACCCCGGGACUGCCCUUGGAACUGCUUGGCUGGAGUGCGGGAGGGGCAGGCGGAAUUCCUGGUGUAGCGGUGAAAUGCGUAGAUAUCAGGAGGAACACCGGUGGCGAAGGCGGCCUGCUGGACUGCGACUGACGUUGAGGCCCGAAAGCGUGGGGAGCAAACAGGAUUAGAUACCCUUGUAGA